AUUGAACGCUAGCGGGAUGCUUUACACAUGCAAGUCGAACGAGUGGCGGACGGGUGAGUAAUGUAACGGAACGUGCACAGUAGAGGGGGAUAACUACUCGAAAGCGUGGCCAAUACAGCAUACUAUUGGAGCGGCCGAAAACGGAUUAGCUAGUGGGUGGGGUAAAGGCUCACCAAGGCAACGAUCCGUAGCUGGUCUGAGAGGACGACCAGCCACAUUGGGACUGAGACACGGCCCAGACUCCUACGGGAGGCAGCAGUGGGGAAUAUUGGACAAUGGGGGAAACCCUGAUCCAGCCAUCCCGCGUGUAUGAGAAGGCCUUCGGAUUGUAAAGUACUUUUGGCAGAGAAGCGGUAUCUGCAGAAUAAGCACCGGCUAACUACGUGCCAGCCGCCGCGGUAAUAC
This 405-nucleotide ribosomal RNA is filed under the name uncultured bacterium. RNAcentral's name for it is "partial 16S ribosomal RNA". It matches the Rfam family "Bacterial small subunit ribosomal RNA", at positions 30 to 526 of the family's 1533-position model. The record is from RNAcentral.